Molecule: ribosomal RNA, 661 nt
Filed under: uncultured Alphaproteobacteria bacterium
Lineage: Bacteria; Pseudomonadati; Pseudomonadota; Alphaproteobacteria
Description: bacterial SSU rRNA
Rfam family: Bacterial small subunit ribosomal RNA
Source: RNAcentral
AGCGGCGGACGGGUUAGUAACGCGUGGGAAUGUACCCUUCUCUACGGAAUAGCCUCGGGAAACUGAGAGUAAUACCGUAUACGCCCUUCGGGGGAAAGAUUUAUCGGAGAAGGAUCAGCCCGCGUAAGAUUAGAUAGUUGGUGGGGUAAUGGCCUACCAAGUCUACGAUCUUUAGCUGGUUUUAGAGGAUGAUCAGCAACACUGGGACUGAGACACGGCCCAGACUCCUACGGGAGGCAGCAGUGGGGAAUCUUGGACAAUGGGCGCAAGCCUGAUCCAGCCAUGCCGCGUGUGUGAUGAAGGCCUUAGGGUCGUAAAGCACUUUCGCUAGAGAUGAUAAUGACAGUAUCUAGUAAAGAAGUCCCGGCUAACUCCGUGCCAGCAGCCGCGGUAAUACGGAGGGGACUAGCGUUGUUCGGAAUUACUGGGCGUAAAGCGUACGUAGGCGGAUCAGAAAGUAUGGGGUGAAAUCCCAGGGCUCAACCCUGGAACUGCCUCAUAAACUCCUGGUCUAGAGUUCGAGAGAGGUGAGUGGAAUUCCGAGUGUAGAGGUGAAAUUCGUAGAUAUUCGGAGGAACACCAGUGGCGAAGGCGGCUCACUGGCUCGAUACUGACGCUGAGGUACGAAAGUGUGGGGAGCAAACAGGAUUAGAUACCCUGG